AGACCUCACAGUGAAAUGCUGAAUACAACAGGUGUAGUAGACCUCACAGUGAAAUGCUGAAUACAACAGGUGUAGACCUCACAGUGAAAUACUUACUUACAGGCUCUAACCAACAGUGCAAAAAAGGUAUUAGGUGAACAAUAUUACAAUUAGGUAAAGAAACAAAACAACAGUAAAAAGACAGGCUAUAUACAGUAGAGGCUAUAUACAGUAGAGAGGCUAUAUACAGUAGAGAGGAUAUAUACAGUAGAGAGGCUAUAUACAGUAGAGAGGUUAUAUACAGUAGAGGCUAUAUACAGUAGAGGCUAUAUACAGUAGAGAGGUUAUAUACAGUAGAGAGGUUAUAUACAGUAGAGAGGUUAUAUACAGUAGAGAGGCUAUAUACAGUAGAGAGGCUAUAUACAGUAGAGAGGCUAUAUACAGUAGAGAGAGGCUAUAUACAGUAGAGAGGCUAUAUACAGUAGAGAGGCUAUAUACAGUAGAGAGGCUAUAUACAGUAGAGAGGCUAUAUACAGUAGAGAGGCUAUAUACAGUAGAGGCUAUAUACAGUAGAGGCUAUAUACAGU
Molecule: long non-coding RNA, 566 nt
Filed under: Salmo salar (Atlantic salmon)
Lineage: Eukaryota; Metazoa; Chordata; Actinopteri; Salmoniformes; Salmonidae
Description: lncRNA (ENSSSAG00000089652.1)
Source: RNAcentral